GGUUGAUCCUGCCAGUAGUCAUAUGCUUGUCUCAAAGAUUAAGCCAUGCAUGUCUAAGUAUAAAUAAUUUAUAUUGUGAAACUGCGAAUGGCUCAUUAAAUCAGUUAUAGUUUAUUUGAUAAUACCUUACUACUUGGAUAACCGUGGUAAUUCUAGAGCUAAUACAUGCUAAAAACCCCGACUUCUGGAAGGGGUGUAUUUAUUAGAUAAAAAACCAAUCGAGUUUACUCGUCUAAUGGUGAAUCAUGAUAACUUUUCGAAUCGCAUGACUUACGUCGGCGAUGGUUCAUUC
RNAcentral lists this ribosomal RNA (292 nucleotides) under uncultured eukaryote. Its description in RNAcentral is "partial 18S ribosomal RNA". It matches the Rfam family "Eukaryotic small subunit ribosomal RNA", at positions 6 to 300 of the family's 1831-position model. The record is from RNAcentral.